CGAGUCGCAAACUCGCGGGAGGUAAGCUAAUCUCUUAAAGCCGUUCUCAGUUCGGACUGUAGGCUGCAACUCGCCUACACGAAGUCGGAAUCGCUAGUAAUCGCGGAUCAGCAUGCUGCGGUGAAUACGUUCCCGGGCCUUGUACACACCGCCCGUCACACCAUGGGAGUCGGUAACACCCGAAGUCGGUAGCCUAACCGUAAGGAGGGCGCCGCCGAAGGUGGGAUUGAUGACUGGGGUGAAGUCGUAACAAGGUACC
This 259-nucleotide ribosomal RNA is filed under the name uncultured bacterium. RNAcentral describes it as "partial 16S ribosomal RNA". It matches the Rfam family "Bacterial small subunit ribosomal RNA", at positions 1243 to 1500 of the family's 1533-position model. The record is from RNAcentral.